Molecule: ribosomal RNA, 407 nt
Filed under: uncultured bacterium
Lineage: Bacteria
Description: partial 16S ribosomal RNA
Rfam family: Bacterial small subunit ribosomal RNA
Source: RNAcentral
AUUGAACGCUGGCGGCAGGCCUAACACAUGCAAGUCGAACGGAGUGGCGGACGGGUGAGUAAUGUCUGGGAAACUGCCUGAUGGCGGGGGCUAACGUCCGGAAACGGUCGCUAAUACCGCAUACUAUCAGAUGAGCCUAGGUCGGAUUAGCUAGUUGGUGGGGUAAAGGCCUACCAAGGCGACGAUCCGUAACUGGUCUGAGAGGAUGAUCAGUCACACUGGAACUGAGACACGGUCCAGACUCCUACGUGAGGCAGCAGUGGGGAAGAUUGGACAAUGGGCGAAAGCCUGAUCCAGCCAUGCCGCGUGUGUGAAGAAGGUCUUCGGAUUGUAAAGCACUUUAAGUUGGGAGGCGUUACCAACAGAAUAAGCACCGGCUAACUUCGUGCCAGCCGCCGCGGUAAUUC